RNAcentral lists this small nucleolar RNA (126 nucleotides) under Erythranthe guttata (spotted monkey flower). The record is from RNAcentral. Lineage: Eukaryota; Viridiplantae; Streptophyta; Magnoliopsida; Lamiales; Phrymaceae.
ACCAAUUCUGGAGGAUUUUCUGUUCCUCUAUGAUAUAAUGGCUUGGGCGCAAUAAUUAAUUGUGGCUAAUCCUGGUUAAUGUAUUUAAUUACAUGUCAUUACACCCCGGAAACACCUCAUAAAUUU